Molecule: long non-coding RNA, 8165 nt
Filed under: Sus scrofa (pig)
Lineage: Eukaryota; Metazoa; Chordata; Mammalia; Artiodactyla; Suidae
Description: lncRNA (ENSSSCG00055002458.1)
Source: RNAcentral
UACAUAAACACUGAAAACAAAACUCAGUUAAGUAAAAUAUUAAAAACUGUAUUCAAUUCCUUAAAAUGUUAUUUCUCAUUUUAUAAAUCAUUCUGUAUAAUUUGUUUCUUUGCAAUGAAAAUAAAGCAACCUUGAAACAACAUACUACAAUACAGUUUGGCCCUAGAACUACACAGGGAUCCGGGUCCAGACCCUUGAGCAGGAAACCUUAGCGUCAGCUCUCCGUAUAUGCAGUACCUCCAUAUCCAGGGUUCUGCACCCAGGGAUUCAACCAACGGCAGAUCGUGUGGUACUUAGUGUUUACUAUUAAAAAAUCCACAUAUAAGUGAACCGUGCAAUUCAAAUUCAUGUUGUUCAAGGCACUCUCAUAUACUCUGGAGAAGGAAAACCAGAAUCACUUUUGAGAUAAGCUGAAAAUGAUCAGAGGAGAAAGAAGUUACUGGUGAAUAUUAGUGACACUCUUCCACUUAUCUAAUGAAAUAAUGUUUAGAGUCACAAAAGAAAGAAUCCAAAUCAGUCUCCCAGAAUUCAUUCACGGGAGUAAAUUCCUAUUAGGCCUAACCUAAGAAAAAAAUAGCAGUUUCAAUAGGUUUUUUAAAAAGCUAAAAAAAAUAAAUAAAUAAAAAGAGUAUGUAAUAUUAUUUGGCUACAGAUUUCGUGAAAUUAUCUUAUUUACAACCAAUAUGAGUAAACAUAGAUUUUUUAGUUACCUCAAAUAUCAUAAAUAUACAAGAUCUUUUUCAGCAGUUACGUAUUUUACUCAUGAAUCCUUAACUAAAGCUGAGCCUACCUGGUAGCUUACAGAUGUCAUCAAAGAGAACAAAUUUAUAUUCUACCAAACAGAAAGCUUAACCUAGAAAUGAAACUCACAGUAAACAUCUGAAAAAGCCUAGUAAGAGCUUCUAUUCUUCAAAUGAAUAGACCCCUUCAUAUAGAGAUAUACACCUACUGUGUAAUGAGAAAGAAUAAUAAAAUUUUAAAUUCUGACUUUGAAGCCAAAUUUUGCACAUAAAGGGAAGAAAAACUAACACUUUUUCAAUAAUUCAUCAAAUUGUCACUGAACACCCACUCUUUCAAGCACCCUAACAGGCCCAAGAUACAAGACUGAAUAAGAUACACAGGUCCCAUGCUCUCACUGGGGAGACAGAGGGUGACCAAGCAGCCCCUGGUGGGCUGCUGUCCAGGAAUUCAGAUCUACAGGAGACACCAAAGCACCACUGGAAUACACUGGCCACGUAUGGCUGAAGUCAGCUCGUUACAGAGCCGAACAGUAGAGAGAUUUUUAUCAGGAUUAAUAAUUAUUACCAUCUAAAUUUUAAAUACCCUCUAGGAAGUUGUGCAGUUUAGAAAAAUCACGGAUUAAAACUACCAAAACUGGGAGUUUCCUGGUGGUCUAGUGGUUGGGACCCAGCCCUUUCACCACUGCAGCUCAGGUACAAUCCCUAGGCUGAGAACUGAGAUUCUACCCCAAACCACUAUGUGCUGCAACCAAAACAAAACAAAACAAAGUCCAAAACCUGGGAAAUGUUUUCUCCGGUUCUUGUAUGUAUGUAUGUAUGUAUGUACGUAUGUGUGUGUGUCUUUUUAGGGCUGCACCCGUGGCAUAUGGAGGUUCCCAAGCCUGGGAAACUCCAUAGGCCUCGGCAGCGGCCCGGGAAAUAGCAAAAAGACAAAAAGACAAAAAAAAAAAAAAAAAAAAAAAAAAAGAUAGGAAAACCGUGAACUCUAAGAAUUCUGACUAAAACAGAAUUAGAAAAGAACUUUUCGUAUGCCUUCUACACUUCUCAAUGGUCAGAAGACAAAAAUCACUUUAAUGCUAAACACAUCUUUAAGUGUUAAACUUCUCAGUUCAAAAUUACUGUAAAGCACCAUAAAAACUUGUCUUUAUGUGCUUUAUAUCUGUACAGUUGAUAAUAUUAGGUAAUUAUUGCUAAUUUUGAAGCUGUGGUGAUAACUGUGAUUGUUUUAAAAGAGUCAAGAUCAGGAGUUCCCAUUGUGGCUCAGCAGUAACAAACCCAACCAGUAUUAAUGAGGAUGCGGGUUCAAUCCCUGCCCUUGCUCAGUGGGUUACAGAUCCUAUGUUGCUGUGGCUGUGGUGUGGGCCUGCAGCGGCAGCUACAAUUUGACCCUUAGCCUGGGAACUUCAAUGUGCUGUAGGUGAGGCCCUAAAAAGAAAAAAAUAAUAAUAAUAAAAAAAAAUAAAAAGCCAGAGUGGUCCAGAUAUAACAUGCUAAAAAGAAGCCUAUUUUAUUCUUUGGAAAAACCCUAAGAUUUAAUAAGCUUUCUUAUGAGUGAAUGUGUAAGCCUACACAUAGUUAAAUUUGCUCUUUAAGACCUCCCAAAUCAGAACAUUUCAAAGCGAAUCAUCAACAGUAUACACAGACACACAUUUACAUGUAUCACACACAGAACAAGUCAGGAGGGUAGAGAGCACAACAUUAACAGCAUUUACACUAAGUAACAGAAUUCUAUCAAUGGUAAUUUUUUAAAAAUGCUUUACAAGUUUUUCAAUAAACCUAUUGCUUUUCUAAUCAGUUACAAAAUUUGAACAAAACAAUAACAAGCAAAACAAUGAAGUUUAGAUUUUUAAAAGUAAAUGCAUAAAAUAAAGAGGUUACAGCCAAGAAAGGGCAAAUGAGACAAGCCAGAUGAACACCUGCCCUUAGAAAACACUGGUCAAGGACAUGGAGACGCCAAAGAAAAGUAUAAGCGUCCUUCAUCUUAUUGUGGAAGAGAAGUCAAACUUCACUUUCUGCUGAGUGGCGAUCCCAUUUACCUACUUGACAUGCACAAUCACGACUACCUUUUCCUCUAAACAGUUUAUUUUUUAAAAUAUUAUAUGCUAAGACUGACAAAACAAGGAUGGCUGCAUUAGGGAAUUUAGGCUUUAGCUAAAAUUAAUACUAUGUGACCAUGUAAGUACUGACCACGUUUUCAAGUGACUGCUCCUGCCUUUGUACUACCUGCUGUGCCUGUUCUGGGACGUCUCCCUUCGUACUUCCCAUUAUCUUUGGUGCAUUUCUCAGGUAACUAGAAGUUAAUAAGUUACUCAAGUCAUUUAGGAAACAGGAAAAAGGUUUUACAAUCUCAGGGUAGAUUGUCCUUCCUUUCAUCCAACUAAGAAGGCCACCUGAACUAUUCCAAGAAGACUGCGGCUCUAUAGCCAGUGGUUCUACUUGAGAAAUGAAACUUCAGAUAUGACUCAUGUGUUGGCAUAAUUUGAAAAUAAAAAUACAAUAAUAAGUUUAAAACUGCACUAUAAACAACCUAAGAGUGAACCCAUCUCUACCUCAGAAUAAAGAUAUUUAGGGAAAAUGCUCCCCCUACCCAUUUUUCAUUCUUCUUGGCUGCCUGUCCUAAGUCCCAAAGGAGCAAGGCAGACAGCACUCUGGGAAAUCAAAGAGCCAUUUGCUUGCCUCCCAUGCUGGCUGGGAGUCUGACAGCACCUCGGAGAGGCAAAAUGUCUCAGUUUGGUAGUAAAACUGCCUUUCUCUGGGUAAGAAGAAUUUAACAAGAAAUAGCUCAAGAUAUAUUACUAAAGUAAACCCUGAAUCACUUUUUUUUUAAUUCAUCACUACUUUUCAGUUUGUGUUCAUAUUUACCUUUUAUCAACACUUUCUAUCCAUCAAAACGUUUUACUUUGCUAUUAUAUAUAAUCUGAACAAGCAUGAAUAAUACCUGCUUUUUGCUCUGAAAUGGAUCCUUUUUAUCCACACUGAUGAAUUUCUGUUAACCUAGUAGUAGGGUUGCUGGUUCAGCAGCAACCAUUCAGAGAAAAAAAAAAAAAGUGGACAUGCUGAAUUCUUCUUUGCCUAGCACUUCAAGACAGAAAAAAACUCCGUAAACUAUAACAAAAACACUGUUGUGAUCACACUGAGAUAUCUGACAAGUCAUGAUCUGCACCUCCUUGACCAAAUUCCACAAUAGAGACUGUAACUGAGCCUGACCCAGUCUGCUUGCCAUCGCCGCCUCUGCCCAUCACUACUCCUCCUUGGGUUUCUUCUUGCAUGGCUUUCAAGAGAGUCACACUUAAAAAAAAAGAAAGAAAGAAAAUUUCCCAUAGCUUUGUUCCUUUUCUCAUUUUUAAAAUUCUCUUAUCUCUAAAUAGACGCACUAUACUUUUGGGCUGUCCCUUGUCUCUUGGUGAAUUCAUGUAAUCUCAUAUUGCUAUUCUUUGUCUUUAAUUUAAUGCCCACGCUAAUUUAUACUUUCGGUCCUCUCUUCUUUCCUGAGAGCUAAGUCCACAUUCUUACCAGGGUUAAGGAGAAGACAAAGACGACUCCCAGGUAUUUAUAUACCAUUUUGCUUUCUUUUAAAAGAAUUCCAUUAGCUUGACUGCAUGUCUUUCUAUGAUGAGUCGGGUAAGGCCUCUCUCUGCCCUCAAAGAGCACAGAGUUUGUCUAGCGGAUGAAAUAGAAAAUAUUUACAAGGGCUAGAGCAGAGGUAAUGACAUUUACGGGAGAGUAAACUGAUUAAGAGCCAGUUCUGUAUUCCAGACCAAUCAGCUAGGAUCCCAUCCCUUUCCCCGAGCUUGUCUGUGGACCAGGCCUUCAUCUGGUGUUAUGAUGAUGCAGCCAGUAAUGCUGAGACUCAUCACUACCUAGCAACCUCUGGGUUCAGCAGAACCAGGGAUGCUGAGACAAGAACAGGAUUUGCGUUAGCUCUGUCCCUCUGGACUCGGUGCUUCAGGCUGCACGCAACUCCUGAAGGAAAAAGCCAUCCUGUCACUCUGGCUAUUCUCCCUUGGUCCCUCCUAGGGGACAGCUUGGUCUCAACUGACCCUUCAUUAUGGAGUUCCCAGCAUGUGCUAUACGUAGAGUGAUAAAGUGCCUGACCAAGUAAGUAAUUAAGGCAUUACCAAGGAAUUAACACUGCCACUGAGAACAAGUCUUCACUACAAAUGGCGCCAGAAGGGAGGAGAAGGUGCCUCUAAGCAGAAAGGAAGGCUCAGCAAGGAUGAAAGAGAGAAGCAUAAAUGUAACAGAAAGAUCUCCAGGCAAGCAGAGGGUUUGCUACAACCCAAACACAGGCCAAAGGGCAACAGCAGGAGGCGAGGCUGGAUGGAAGCCCAAGUGCUAAGAGCCUUACUGCCACCACCUAAGGAGCUUGGCCUGGAUUGGCCUGUAAGCAACGGCCAACCACGAUUAAGCAGAAGAGUCAAAUGAUGAAAUCUGUGUCUUCAAAAGACCCACGUUGGAAAGGGUGAAAGGCAGAUAAACAGUAGUGAAGAGGCAAGGUACCUGGAUGAAGACUUGGUAGAAGGGGAGUGGAGAUAAAGAACAGGAAAUGGAUUCAAGAGACAUUAGAGACGACUGACUGGCUCUGACCACUGACAGGACCCAUCUGGCACACUAGCAGCCAAUAAAUGUUUGUUAUACCAAUUAGUGAGCAGGAUAAUGAUCACUUAGAUCACAAAGGACAGAAAACAAAAACCACGAGAAACACAAAAAUUCAAGCCAAGGACAAAAGACAGCUAGAGAAACUGAAAGGGAACAAAGACACCAAAUGAAGCCAUACUCCUCCACCUGGCAGUGACUCCGCAAGAUACCUGGAUGGCUGGCAUUUCCUACAGACCCUUACACGGCCAGCAUCUUAGUGUGCUCUCCCCUGACGGCACUACUUAAAACUUAACAACCCAGGCAUCCCUCCCAGCACCCUCCAAGCCCCUCCCCUGCUUUAUUUGUCUCUGUCCUACUUACCAACAUCUAAGAUACUAUAUACUUUCCUUAUUUAUUGUGUUUAAAGUCUCUACUUAAAUGUAAGCUCCAUCAGGGGAGGAAUUUUGUCUGCUUCACUCACCAUUGUACACUAGAGCCUAAAAAAGUGCCUGGCAUAUAGCACGUGCUCAACAAAUACUUGCUGAUUGACUGACUGAAUAAUGCAGAGAAAUAAAAAGAGUAGGACUGUUAUGUGUAGAUUAAUAAGUAUGAAAAUGAAAUGGUAUCUAACUUGGAAAUUCUAUUAAUUAUAGUGAAGGAUAAAAAUAAAAAUCUAUACAACCGUCCUUUAAAUAAAUGCAAAAGGCUCAAAAACGUUUUCUUAGAAUAUGCAUUUUUAUAUAUAUUCAAAUACAACAAACAUAUAACAAAGUUGUAACAAUUAUAACGAAUAUUUUCUAUUUAGUCACAAAGGAAUGAAGUUUUACUGCUUGAAAAAUCGCUGCAAUACUUGAUAGCGACAUUGCAAACCCACCACUUCAAGUAUUUAAAUUCUAUUAAUACCUUUCCAACUUCCAUUAUAAGUUUCUAACUUUCUUUCUGAAAUUGUGGCUAUUUUAAAAUGUUAAAAAAAACCUAAGAAGUGAAAGUUGAAAUACCAGAAUGUUAGUAAAAUAAUAGUCAUUGGCUUUAAGAUACAGUGAAGAGGCUAUGACAUUAAAACGUAAAGAAUGGUCAAAAAGUUAGAAAUUCAAAAAUAUCCAAGAACACAAAAAAGCCCACCUAGCUGGCUGGCUUCGGGAAAAUGAGCAAAUAUCAUUAAGGCUCACUUUCCUCACCAAUAAAAUGCAGCUAACACUAGCACCUACCUACCUGAUAAGCUUAUUCUGAGAGGGUUUUCUGGAGGAUUAAAUCUGUUUCAGGUCAUCAGCUUGGCACAAUGCCUCUAAUCGUCAUUUCUUUCUUUAACCCAGAAAUAUUUACGAAGAACCUACCAUACAAAAGGCACCACACUUACUGGCUACAGUGGCAAAUGAGACAGACACUCCUGCUUCAGAGAAUCUAUGACAACCACAACAAGUCUGAAGACAGAUGAAUUACCAAGUGUGACAGGUGCUACAGAGGAAGCCUAUAGGGUGGCUUCUGGUCAGAAAUCAGGGAAGUGAGGGAAUUCAGCUUUCGAUGUGGUCAGGAAAAGUGUCUCCGAGGACAGGAAAGCUGAGACGCUCGUUCCCCACGCACAGAGGGCACCGGAUGAGGGUGUGGGUGAGGAGACUGACGUGUGCAAAGGCUGGGGCCUGUCUGAGGAGCUGAGGGGACCCGGUGCACCUGACGCCCAGGAAGCCACUCGCAGAGCCAGGCAAGAGCUGGAUGACGCUGGACUCAGAAGGAAAACCACAGGAAUUUGCGAUUUUAUUCUAUGGGAAUUUAUUCUUCAGUGGAAAGCUGCUGAGGUUUUCUGUUUUUUUCAGAGGGAAAGAUAACCCAAUUUAUGUCUCAUAAAAAUCACUCAGGCUAUUUUUGCAAAAUGUCUUACAGGGGAAUGUGAAUGGAAGCAGAAAAUUAGUGCUAAGACUAAAGCCCCAUCCAGGAGAGAGAGACGGUACCUGCAAUAGGGUGGGAGCAUGGAGAUGAUGAGAACUUGAUGGGUUCCAGACAGAGUUCGAAAUGGCGGGAUUCGGGGGAUGAGGGAAGGGAGAAAUCACAUAUGACUCCUAGAUGUCUGACUUAGGCAAAUGCUCGGCUAAGUAACGCAGUAAAGUAUUUGAUUAAUUUUAGCUAUUCUUAGCUACCCUUAGGACUGAAGAGAAAGAAAAACUGGUGAUCCUACAUCCAAAAUAGUAAAAACAAAAACAAAAAAGAAAGAAACUAAAGUACAAAUAGGAAAGGCGACUGGGUCAAGCGAUGAGGGAAUAGCAGUAGCAGACCACCUUUCCCACUGAAAACAACCAUGAAAGUGAGGUGAAACACCAAACCAACACACUGAGUUAUCUGAAGGCUCAGAGAGAACAACCAGGAGAGCCAGGACAUCAGGAACCUAGAGAAGGGGAUGCAGAGAAAGAGGCCGUUUCCCCUUGGGAUACCUGCCCAUUACAGGGCACCCAGGCCAAGCAGAAAGCAGUAGCCCUGAGCUUGUAUCACUCUCAUUGGGCUGGGAAGACAAAAACUGGAGUUCUGUACUACUAAGGUAGCCAGGAAUUGAGGCUCCCAGCUAAAAAGGAACCACGAAAAACAAGCCCAUCAUUCUGCUCAAUUUUGGCCCUCAGGAAUAUGCUGAAUCAUAAACAACAUGGACUGAAAUGCAGGAAAACUCAUCAAAAAAAUGCUGCAAAGAGGCUAGAAAACUAAGCCGAGCUCUGAUCAGCCUCACAAUACUUAAAAUUCAGGGCUUGCCAAGGAAGAGGCAUCUUGGUAAAUACGCCAGACUUUUAAUAAACGAGCCUUCAGAAGGGCUAUGCACUAGGAGGUUAUUUGAAUUUCCUGAUUACCCUGAAUCCAGGCUUACGU